CGGGACGGGUGAGUAAUGUCUGGGAAACUGCCUGAUGGAGGGGGAUAACUACUGGAAACGGUAGCUAAUACCGCAUAACGUCGCAAGACCAAAGAGGGGGACCUUCGGGCCUCUUGCCAUCGGAUGUGCCCAGAUGGGAUUAGCUAGUAGGUGGGGUAACGGCUCACCUAGGCGACGAUCCCUAGCUGGUCUGAGAGGAUGACCAGCCAUACUGGAACUGAGACACGGUCCAG
Molecule: ribosomal RNA, 233 nt
Filed under: uncultured bacterium
Lineage: Bacteria
Description: partial 16S ribosomal RNA
Rfam family: Bacterial small subunit ribosomal RNA
Source: RNAcentral